UGGAAAUACCAGAGUCUGAGCUCUUCUGCC
RNAcentral lists this non-coding RNA (30 nucleotides) under Mus musculus (house mouse). The record is from RNAcentral. Lineage: Eukaryota; Metazoa; Chordata; Mammalia; Rodentia; Muridae.